AGAGGAAGGAGAAGUCGUAACAAGGUUUCCGUAGGUGAACCUGCGGAAGGAUCAUUGUCGAAACCUGCCCAGCAGAACGACCUGUGAACUCUUUAAAACACCGGAGGGUGCGUGCCUUGCGUGCGCUCCCCUCUCUUCUGCAUCAGGUGCGGUCUUCUGCUCGUGCUUGUUACAGAACAACCAACCCCGGGCGCAGUAUGCGCCAAGGAAAACUAACAAGAGAGCACGAUCUCAGGCCCCAUACAUGGUGUGCUUGGGACGCAGUGCAUUCUUUCACAUUAUCUAUAACGACUCUCGGCAACGGAUAUCUAGGCUCUCGCAUCGAUGAAGAACRCAGC
Molecule: unclassified non-coding RNA, 338 nt
Filed under: Acronychia cartilaginea
Lineage: Eukaryota; Viridiplantae; Streptophyta; Magnoliopsida; Sapindales; Rutaceae
Description: sequence contains 5.8S rRNA gene, ITS2, 28S rRNA gene
Rfam family: Eukaryotic small subunit ribosomal RNA (bases 1-57)
Source: RNAcentral